UGUGGGCCCAGGGGUCCAUAGAUGACAUGCCAUUCGAUAGAUAUUUAUUCUGGUGUUCCAGGAAAACAAAUAACGGUACAGCUUAAGCGAAAAGAAAAACAUCUUACUGUCAGUGUCUAAGCUCCUUUAACAACGGAAUGUGUCUGAGACCUUGUGUACGGAUACACGUGUACUUAAAACAGCCCCGCCAG
RNAcentral lists this long non-coding RNA (191 nucleotides) under Sus scrofa (pig). RNAcentral describes it as "Deleted in lymphocytic leukemia 1 conserved region 1 (ENSSSCG00070002289.1)". It matches the Rfam family "Deleted in lymphocytic leukemia 1 conserved region 1". The record is from RNAcentral. Lineage: Eukaryota; Metazoa; Chordata; Mammalia; Artiodactyla; Suidae.